RNAcentral lists this ribosomal RNA (246 nucleotides) under uncultured bacterium. RNAcentral describes it as "partial 16S ribosomal RNA". It matches the Rfam family "Bacterial small subunit ribosomal RNA", at positions 118 to 354 of the family's 1533-position model. The record is from RNAcentral.
UGAAGAAUUUGUCCAACGGUGGGGGAUAGCCGGCCCAACGGCCGGGUAAUACCGCGUACGCCCUUCGAGCGGCAUCGCUUGAUGGGGAAAGUCGCAAGACGCCGAUGGAGAACUUCGCGGCCUAUCAGCUAGUUGGUGUGGGUAGUGGCCUACCAAGGCGACGACGGGUAGCCGGCCUGGAGGAGGGUCGACCGGCCACACGUGGGACUGAGACCGACCGGCCCAGACCUCCGUAACGGGGAGCAG